GACGAACGCUGGCGGCGCGCCUAACACAUGCAAGUCGAGCGAACCCUUCGGGGUGAGCGGCGGACGGGUGAGUAACGCGUGGGUAACCUGCCCUAUACACACGGAUAACGUACCGAAAGGUACGCUAAUACGGGAUAAUAUUGUUGGAUGGCAUCUUCUAACAAUCAAAGCUCCGGCGGUAUAGGAUGGACCCGCGUCUGAUUAGCUAGUUGGUGAGGUAAUGGCUCACCAAGGCGACGAUCAGUAGCCGACCUGAGAGGGUGAUCGGCCACACUGGAACUGAGACACGGUCCAGACUCCUACGGGAGGCAGCAGUGGGGAAUAUUGCACAAUGGGCGAAAGCCUGAUGCAGCAACGCCGCGUGAGCGAUGAAGGUCUUCGGAUCGUAAAGCUCUGUCCUCAAGGAAGAUAAUGACGGUACUUGAGGAGGAAGCCCCGGCUAACUACGUGCCAGCCGCCGCCGUAA
This 466-nucleotide ribosomal RNA is filed under the name uncultured bacterium. Its description in RNAcentral is "partial 16S ribosomal RNA". It matches the Rfam family "Bacterial small subunit ribosomal RNA", at positions 28 to 523 of the family's 1533-position model. The record is from RNAcentral.